Molecule: non-coding RNA, 515 nt
Organism: Microcebus murinus (gray mouse lemur)
Lineage: Eukaryota; Metazoa; Chordata; Mammalia; Primates; Cheirogaleidae
Source: RefSeq, a predicted model, not a curated record
CUUUCAGGGGCUUCCAGAGCCCUCCAAGGCCACCCAUUGUGACCUGGGGCUGCCAGUCAGUGAUGGGGCCUACUAGGGUUAUUUGCAUGCCACGCUCCCAUUGGCCGGAUCCUCAGAAUUCUGAGACAUAUCACGCCCUCAUUGGUAGGAGCGUUCAAAACCCUGAAUACAUUUCUGGAGCUUGUGUGGGCGCCUCCUGAAUUGGGGCACCUUUGAGUUUUGGAUGGAAUGUUGUGGAAAUGUACUCUGACACCUGGUUUCCUGACCUGCUCAUUUCUGACAGAGCUACCACUGGCCCAUGUCAUGCCAGAUGUGGUCCGCAAUCCUGGGGGUCCUGACUCCAUGCCCCAGCCCAGUUUGGAAGAAGAGAACACAGUACUCAAGCUCUGGGGGAAGAAGAGGUUUGGCCUGGGCAGAGGAGAAUGGUCCCACCAAGCAGUUGGCUCCACCCACCCGCCACACCCAACGGGCUCCGCCCCCACCAGCCCUGCCCAGGGGUCUGCCCUGCGCCACCU